CCUACGGGAGGCAGCAGUGAGGAAUAUUGGUCAAUGGGCGCAGGCCUGAACCAGCCAAGUCGCGUGAGGGAAGACUGCCCUAUGGGUUGUAAACCUCUUUUAUAAGGGAAGAAGACUGACUACGUGUAGCCAGCUGCCCGUACCUUAUGAAUAAGCAUCGGCUAACUCCGUGCCAGCAGCCGCGGUAAUACGGGGGAUGCGAGCGUUAUCCGGAUUUAUUGGGUUUAAAGGGUGCGUAGGCGGUAUCUUAUGUUCGUGGUAAAACGUCGGGGCUUCACCUUGAUUGGCCAUUCAAACUGGAGUACUAGAGUACAGACGAGGUAGGCGGAAUGUGUUUGGUAGCGGUGAAAUGCUUAGAUAUAACUUAGAACCCCGAUGGCGAAGGCAGCUUACCAGACUGUUACUGACGCUGAGGCACGAAAGCGUGGGUAGCGAACAGGAUUAGAUACCCGAGUAGUC
Molecule: ribosomal RNA, 459 nt
Filed under: uncultured bacterium
Lineage: Bacteria
Description: partial 16S ribosomal RNA
Rfam family: Bacterial small subunit ribosomal RNA
Source: RNAcentral